RNAcentral lists this ribosomal RNA (739 nucleotides) under Salmonella enterica. RNAcentral's name for it is "partial 23S ribosomal RNA". It matches the Rfam family "Bacterial large subunit ribosomal RNA", at positions 200 to 878 of the family's 2925-position model. Lineage: Bacteria; Pseudomonadati; Pseudomonadota; Gammaproteobacteria; Enterobacterales; Enterobacteriaceae. The record is from RNAcentral.
AUCUAAGUACCCCGAGGAAAAGAAAUCAACCGAGAUUCCCCCAGUAGCGGCGAGCGAACGGGGAGGAGCCCAGAGCCUGAAUCAGCAUGUGUGUUAGUGGAAGCGUCUGGAAAGGCGCGCGAUACAGGGUGACAGCCCCGUACACAAAAGCGCAUGUGCUGUGAGCUCGAUGAGUAGGGCGGGACACGUGGUAUCCUGUCUGAAUAUGGGGGGACCAUCCUCCAAGGCUAAAUACUCCUGACUGACCGAUAGUGAACCAGUACCGUGAGGGAAAGGCGAAAAGAACCCCGGCGAGGGGAGUGAAAAAGAACCUGAAACCGUGUACGUACAAGCAGUGGGAGCCCCACCACCAAAGCAUUCUCUGGUGUUGAAGGCCCUGCAAAGCAGCAUCGCGGUGGCGGAGCGUCGUUUGCGACGCCCAACACACAAAACAAGCGGUGAGUGCUUUGGGGUGGGGUGACUGCGUACCUUUUGUAUAAUGGGUCAGCGACUUAUAUUCUGUAGCAAGGUUAACCGUAUAGGGGAGCCGUAGGGAAACCGAGUCUUAACCGGGCGUUAAGUUGCAGGGUAUAGACCCGAAACCCGGUGAUCUAGCCAUGGGCAGGUUGAAGGUUGGGUAACACUAACUGGAGGACCGAACCGACUAAUGUUGAAAAAUUAGCGGAUGACCUGUGGCUGGGGGUGAAAGGCCAAUCAAACCGGGAGAUAGCUGGUUCUCCCCGAAAGCUAUUUAGGUAGC